RNAcentral lists this ribosomal RNA (454 nucleotides) under uncultured bacterium. RNAcentral's name for it is "bacterial SSU rRNA". It matches the Rfam family "Bacterial small subunit ribosomal RNA", at positions 346 to 793 of the family's 1533-position model. The record is from RNAcentral.
AGUCAGCAGUGGGGAAUAUUGCACAAUGGGCGCAAGCCUGAUGCAGCCAUGCCGCGUGUGUGAAGAAGGCCUUCGGGUUGUAAAGCACUUUCAGUUGUGAGGAAGGUGGUGUCGUUAAUAGCGGCAUCAUUUGACGUUAGCAACAGAAGAAGCACCGGCUAACUCCGUGCCAGCAGCCGCGGUAAUACGGAGGGUGCGAGCGUUAAUCGGAAUUACUGGGCGUAAAGCGCAUGCAGGUGGUUUGUUAAGUCAGAUGUGAAAGCCCGGGGCUCAACCUCGGAACUGCAUUUGAAACUGGCAGACUAGAGUACUGUAGAGGGGGUAGAAUUUCAGGUGUAGCGGUGAAAUGCGUAGAGAUCUGAAGGAAUACCGGUGGCGAAGGCGGCCCCCUGGACAGAUACUGACACUCAGAUGCGAAAGCGUGGGGAGCAAACAGGAUUAGAUACCCUGGUAA